This is a small nucleolar RNA of Dioscorea cayenensis subsp. rotundata (Guinea yam), 107 nucleotides long. NCBI's taxonomy places the organism in Eukaryota, Viridiplantae, Streptophyta, Magnoliopsida, Dioscoreales, Dioscoreaceae. The record is from RefSeq and is a predicted model, not a curated record.
AAUCCAUAUUGUGGGCACCUCCACAAAAGGCCCUUGAAACACUCCCAUGUCUCAAGCAAUAACUCUAAUUCAACCUAUACGAACAACGAUAUCUCAUUACGAAGCUU